This 408-nucleotide ribosomal RNA is filed under the name uncultured bacterium. RNAcentral's name for it is "partial 16S ribosomal RNA". It matches the Rfam family "Bacterial small subunit ribosomal RNA", at positions 28 to 526 of the family's 1533-position model. The record is from RNAcentral.
GACGAACGCUGGCGGCGUGCUUAACACAUGCAAGUCGAACGGAGUGGCGAACGGGUGAGUAACACGUGGGUGACCUGCCCUGCAAUUCGGGAUAAGCCUGGGAAACUGGGUCUAAUACCGGAUAGUGUGGGAUGGGCGCGUGGCCUAUCAGCUUGCUGGUGGGGGAAGGGCCUACCAAGGCGGGGACGGGUAGCCGGCCUGAGAGGGUGGACGGCCACAAUGGGACUUAGACCCGUCCCAGACUCCUACGGGAGGCAACGGUGGGGAAUAUUGCGCAAUGGGCGGGAGCCUGAUGCAGCGACGCCGCGUGGGGGAUGACGGCCUUCGGGUUGUAAACUCCUUUCACCAUCGACGCGGUAGAUGAAGAAGAAGCACCGGCUAACUACGUGCCAGCAGCCGCGGUAAUUC